GACUUAAAAUAUUAAAGGAUUUUUUUCUUGAUGUCUUUGGGCGACGGGACAUCUUUCACUAUCAUUGGGGAGUUGUACUCAAUCCUGGCCUGUCCGAGGCUUACCUUAUCCAUUACAACUGUAGUUACCGAGUGAGAUGGACUUUGAUGUACACUAAUGAAGUCUUACUCCUUCUCAAGGAGAUAGAUCAUCUUUUACCAAGAUAGGACAGCUUAUAUUCAUAUCUUUUCAAUUGUACAACAUUUCUGUAUAAUAAUUAUACUGAGAUAUUUAGCUGUUGUUUAAUUAGUAAUUACUGUGUGGUGUGUAAA
This is a long non-coding RNA of Amphimedon queenslandica, 311 nucleotides long. RefSeq lists it as uncharacterized. The record is from RefSeq and is a predicted model, not a curated record. The transcript is spliced from 2 exons. Lineage: Eukaryota; Metazoa; Porifera; Demospongiae; Haplosclerida; Niphatidae.